Long non-coding RNA from Cryptomeria japonica (Japanese cedar), 831 nucleotides. RefSeq lists it as uncharacterized. The transcript is spliced from 4 exons. The record is from RefSeq and is a predicted model, not a curated record. NCBI's taxonomy places the organism in Eukaryota, Viridiplantae, Streptophyta, Pinopsida, Cupressales, Cupressaceae.
ACUUGUCUUUAUAUUUCUGCAAAUCUCUACACAGCAGCACUCUACGUGUCCUUAUGAGUUUUGGUUUAUUAUAGUAUAAAUAAUGGGAUUAUGUAAGGUGAGUUACAGGAGAUUUUAAUGGAGGCUGGGGCUAUUGGACUGCUUGCUCGUCUUCCCUCCCCUGAUGAUCUAAUUAAAAACAUUAAGAAAUAAGGAAUGGGAAAUGACAACCACAUCAGCAAUGUGAAGAGAAAAAAGAUUGUCACUGCAUCCACUCCAGCAGACUUGGAGAUUAAAUGUUGAUAAAUAUUUAUACCAGUUUCCAGUGUUCUAUGACUCUGAUAAGGAGAAAAUAUUUAAGCAGCGUAGGAAAAUUGAAGGACCUGUUUCUGAACUGGUACUCUAUCAUAAGGAAUGGAUUAAGGUCUUUGAAAUGCACAUGGGGAUGGCAUCUACUUGGUGGAUUUGUAAAAAAAGGGCACAUUCUAACACAAGAGGAUACUGAUUUGUACAAACAUUAUAAGAACUUGAGAAAGCAACAUGUUGAAUAGAUUUCCAACGGAGGGAUGAUGCCCAAAGACCAAUACCAGAGCAAUACCAGAGCGAAGGCUUGAAGGAGAUUGUUGAGUUGGUGGAUACAAGGUCUGGUUGUUUAGUGAGCCCAAUUAGAGAUAAUUUCCUGCAAGUUAUUAGUUAUAAUUCCUUUAUAAAGACAAGUAAACUAUAUUGCCAAUUUGCGAUAAUUUCCUCCGGGUUAUUAGUUGUAAUUCUUAUACAAAGACAAGUAAAUUACCAAUACAGUCCAUUGUAUUACACUACAAUGCCGUGUGCACUGCUCUUUGUUAAUCAAUU